UGAGUACGAGCUGCUACGGCAGCGAAGUGGGUGACGUCAAGCUUCCAAGAAAAGCCCUACACCCGUUAAGGCAUGAUGGCCUGUACCCGAAACCGACACAGGUAGGAUGGUAGAGAAUACCGAGGGGCGCGAGGUAACUCUCUCUAAGGAACUCGGCAAAAUGGCCCCGUAACUUCGGGAGAAGGGGUGCCACCGCAAGGUGGUCGCAGUGAAGAGGCCCAGGCGACUGUUUACCAAAAACACAGGUCUCCGCUAAGUCGCAAGACGAUGUAUGGGGGCUGACGCCUGCCCAGUGCCGGAAGGUUAAGGAAGCUGGUCAGCGCAAGCGAAGCUGGCGACUGAAGCCCCGGUGAACGGCGGCCGUAACGAUAACGGUCCUAAGGUAGCGAAAUUCCUUGUCGGGUAAGUUCCGACCCGCACGAAAGGCGUAACGAUCUGGGCGCUGUCUCGGAGAGAGGCUCGGCGAAAUAGAAUUGUCUGUGAAGAUGCGGACUACCUGCACCCGGACAGAAAGACCCUAUGAAGCUUUACUGUAGCUUGGUAUUGUGCCCGGGCUCUGAAUGCGCAGGAUAGGUGGGAGGCUUUGAUCAACAGCUUGCGGGUUGUUGUGAGCCAACGGUGAGAUACCACUCUUUCAGAGCUAGGGUUCUAACGGUCACCCGUUAUCCGGGGACCGGACAGUAUCAGGUGGGCAGUUUGACUGGGGCGGUCGCCUCCUAAAAGGUAACGGAGGCGCGCAAAGGUUUGCUCAGGCUGGUUGGAAAUCAGCCGACGAGUGUAAAAGCAGAAGCAAGCUUGACUGUGAGACCUACAAGUCGAACAGGGACGAAAGUCGGCUUUAGUGAUCCGACGGUUCUGAGUGGAAGGGCCGUCGCUCAACGGAUAAAAGUUACUCUAGGAUAACAGGCUGAUCUCCCCCAAGAGUUCACAUCGACGGGGAGGUUUGGCACCUCGAUGUCGGCUCAUCGCAACCUGGGGCUGAAGUCGGUCCCAAGGGUUGGGCUGUUCGCCCAUUAAAGCGGUACGCGAGCUGGGUUCAGAACGUCGUGAGACAGUUCGGUCCAUAUCCGGUGCAUGCGCAGGAAUAUUGAGAGGAGUUCUCCCUAGUACGAGAGGACCGGGAGGAACGCACCUCUGGUGUACCAGUUAUCGCGCCAACGGUAAACGCUGGGUAGCCAUGUGCGGAGAGGAUAACCGCUGAAAGCAUCUAAGUGGGAAGCCCACCUCAAGAUGAGUAUUCCCAUGGCAUAAGCCAGUAAGGUCACGGGAAGAACACCCGUUGAUAGGCUCUACGUGGAAGCGCAGUAAUGCGUGAAGCGGAGGAGUACUAAUAGACCGAGGGCUUGACCC
Molecule: ribosomal RNA, 1350 nt
Filed under: metagenome
Description: bacterial LSU rRNA
Rfam family: Bacterial large subunit ribosomal RNA
Source: RNAcentral